This is a long non-coding RNA of Melanotaenia boesemani (Boeseman's rainbowfish), 852 nucleotides long. RefSeq lists it as uncharacterized. Lineage: Eukaryota; Metazoa; Chordata; Actinopteri; Atheriniformes; Melanotaeniidae. The record is from RefSeq and is a predicted model, not a curated record. The transcript has 4 exons.
GUGCUUUUUUUCUUUAGAUGGCAAAAGCAUUGAUGGAAGCAUUUCCUCUGCUGCCAGAUGUUAAGUUUGACACAAGUAAGAAGGCAAUGAAAGGCGAAAGAAAAGCACUGGCUCUUCAAAUCCUUGAUGCAUCAGUGUUUGAUGACAACACCUGUUGCUCAAUGUGUGCUGGUAGCAAACCCCCUGUGUCUGGGCCCCACAUCACCGACUGGAUCCAGUGUGACGACUGUGAUCGAUGGUUCCAUGCCAUAUGCUUAAAUAUGACGAAGAAAGACUUUGAUACAACCAAGAAGGGAUGCUGGAAAUGCCCAUUGUGCAAUUAAAAGAUCCAGUGAUAUGACAGUGAUCGAUGGUUGUGGCUUGUGCUUGAACAAGAAAAAGGAAGACUUUGAUUAAACCAAGAAGGGCAGCUGGAAAUGCUCAUUGUGUUACUAAAUGGCAAAUAAUCCUCUAAUAAAUGUUGACAGUUUAUUUUGAAAAUGGUGCUGCAACUUGUUUUGUUUCGCAUGAGAUCGAUUAAAGAUUUAUCCUAUAUUAAUAUUACAGAAUUACAACAAAAACAGAAAUAAAAUUUCUGUAACUAGGAUAAAAAUGAGUGUGCCUCAUCUGUGGAGACUAGUAGAAUAGUUUAAUAUGGAUUUUGUGUCAAUGGGUCACAUGACCUGGAAGCUAUUGAACGUUAAUCAUAAAUUUACAGUAACAAAAAAUACUCAAAAAUAAUAAAUGACUAUAAAUGCAAUAAAAAUGAGUGUGCCUCAUCUGUGGAGACUAGGAGAACAGUUUAAUAUGGAUUUUGUGUCAAUGGGUCACAUGACCUGGAAGCUAUUGAACGUUAAUCAUAAAUUUACAGUA